GACGAACGCUGGCGGCGUGCUUAACACAUGCAAGUCGAACGGUGAAGCCUUUCGGGGUGGAUCAGUGGCGAACGGGUGAGUAACACGUGGGCAACCUGCCCCUGACUUCGGGAUAAGCCCGGGAAACCGGGUCUAAUACCGGAUAUGAUCACGUCCCGCAUGGGGUGUGGUGGAAAGUUUUUCGGUCAGGAUGGGCUCGCGGCCUAUCAGCUUGUUGGUGGGGUGAUGGCCUACCAAGGCGACGACGGGUAGCCGGCCUGAGAGGGCGACCGGCCACACUGGGACUNAGACACGGCCCAGACUCCUACGGGAGGCAGCAGGUGGGGAAUAUUGCGCAAUGGGCGAAAGCCUGACGCAGCGACGCCGCGUGAGGGAUGAAGGCCUUCGG
RNAcentral lists this ribosomal RNA (388 nucleotides) under uncultured bacterium. RNAcentral's name for it is "partial 16S ribosomal RNA". It matches the Rfam family "Bacterial small subunit ribosomal RNA", at positions 28 to 421 of the family's 1533-position model. The record is from RNAcentral.